UACGUAGGGCGCAAGCGUUAUCCGGAAUUAUUGGGCGUAAAGAGCUCGUAGGCGGUUUGUCGCGUCUGCCGUGAAAGUCCGGGGCUCAACUCCGGAUCUGCGGUGGGUACGGGCAGACUAGAGUGAUGUAGGGGAGACUGGAAUUCCUGGUGUAGCGGUGAAAUGCGCAGAUAUCAGGAGAACACCGAGUGGCGAAGGCAGGUCUCUGGGCAUUAACUGACGCUGAGGAGCGGAAAGCAUGGGGAGCGAACAGG
RNAcentral lists this ribosomal RNA (254 nucleotides) under uncultured bacterium. RNAcentral's name for it is "partial 16S ribosomal RNA". It matches the Rfam family "Bacterial small subunit ribosomal RNA", at positions 524 to 776 of the family's 1533-position model. The record is from RNAcentral.